AAGAUGAUCGUGGAUAGCAUGCGGCUCGGGAGAUCCGCGGCGGAGAAAGUCCCUAUCGGUUUACCGUUCAUGUCCGCGAGAUCAUACGAGCUGGUGCCCCUUUUACUGAGGACGAUACAAGGAAUAUACUGAGGCCCUAGUUUGGCGUUGUACUUUUGGCCAGCCGAUGACUGACGAAAAUUGCGCUUGAACACACGUUGACCCGGUUGAAAUGAGGCGAUCGAGUUUAUUCCGGCAGCCAACAUCGCAGUUCUACAAUCUUCCCUGGUGUUACGGAACAACGUUUCAAAUUUACGACGGUCAUCCCACGGUUCGGACAUACAACGAAAAAUACGGACAACAUCAAGCUUUCAACCAUUCUCGUAAUGAGCGUUCCUUACUGCCGCGCCCCCUUCCGGACACGUUUAUUCGUCGGAUACGCAAUUCGUGAUCAAGUUCGUGAUCAGAAAGAUGUGCUGGAUUUAUAGAAAAAUACUGUUCUCGCAACUGGGAUUCCAUCUUGCGGACGAUUCAAAAAUGAAUACUAUAGAUAAUAAUCUACGAGAACGCCAAAAGAAAUCUUAAUUGGAAUGACAGAAGCUAAUAAAUAUAAAGUCGAUAUGAUAAAAUUAAAAUUGCAUGAACACCACAAA
Uranotaenia lowii is the source of this 632-nucleotide long non-coding RNA. RefSeq lists it as uncharacterized. The transcript is spliced from 4 exons. The record is from RefSeq and is a predicted model, not a curated record. Lineage: Eukaryota; Metazoa; Arthropoda; Insecta; Diptera; Culicidae.